UACGUAGGUCCCGAGCGUUGUCCGGAUUUAUUGGGCGUAAAGCGAGCGCAGGUGGUUUAUUAAGUCUGGUGUAAAAGGCAGUGGCUCAACCAUUGUAUGCAUUGGAAACUGGUAGACUUGAGUGCAGGAGAGGAGAGUGGAAUUCCAUGUGUAGCGGUGAAAUGCGUAGAUAUAUGGAAGAACACCAGUGGCGAAGGCGGCUCUCUGGCCUGUAACUGACACUGAGGCUCGAAAGCGUGGGGAGCAAACAGG
RNAcentral lists this ribosomal RNA (252 nucleotides) under uncultured bacterium. Its description in RNAcentral is "partial 16S ribosomal RNA". It matches the Rfam family "Bacterial small subunit ribosomal RNA", at positions 524 to 776 of the family's 1533-position model. The record is from RNAcentral.